Molecule: ribosomal RNA, 476 nt
Filed under: uncultured bacterium
Lineage: Bacteria
Description: bacterial SSU rRNA
Rfam family: Bacterial small subunit ribosomal RNA
Source: RNAcentral
UGACAGUACUCCUACGGGGAGGCAGCAGUGGGGGAAUAUUGCACAAUGGGCGCAAGCCUGAUGCAGCCAUGCCGCGUGUGUGAAGAAGGCCUUCGGGUUGUAAAGCACUUUCAGUCGUGAGGAAGGUAGUGUAGUUAUAGCUGCAUUAUUUGACGUUAGCGACAGAAGAAGCACCGGCUAACUCCGUGCCAGCAGCCGCGGUAAUACGGAGGGUGCGAGCGUUAAUCGGAAUUACUGGGCGUAAAGCGCAUGCAGGUGGUUUGUUAAGUCAGAUGUGAAAGACCCGGGGCUCAACCUCGGAAUAGCAUUUGAAACUGGCAGACUAGAGUACUGUAGAGGGGGGUAGGAAUUUCAGGUGUAGCGGUGAAAUGCGUAGAGAUCUGAAGGAAUACCGGUGGCGAAGGCGGCCCCCUGGACAGAUACUGACACUCAGAUGCGAAAGCGUGGGGAGCAAACAGGAUUAGAUACCCUGGUAG